CUUUAGUGUCUUGACUGAGCUAAGACCAAAGAAAAUGUAGGCAGAAAGAGCUUAAAACUAUCAAAGGGAAAGCCCAAGUAAAUGUCAGGGCUGGGAUAGUUAGGACUUUCCACUGCCCCCUCCCAUCAUCUGGUAGUGCCCCGCUGGGAACAUGAUGAAGUGGCAUCAUUGUCUGUGGUAAAUAUUUCAGGUUUGUCGUCUCACGCCAAGGAAAUCGAGGAUGCAGACACACAAGAAGUGAGUUUAAGAGUGGAGGUUUAAUAGGCGAGAGAAAAGAGAAGAGAAAAAUUCUCUCUCCCGAGAGAGAGAGGUGAUCCCAAGUGGGUCUUCUGGUUUUGUGGUGAAAUGCAUGGGGUUUCAUAGACGAGCUUGAGGAGGCAGUGUCUGAUUUACACAGGGCCCAAAAGAUUGGUUGGACCAGGUGUGCUGUUUGCAUAGCGUGUGAAGAAGCUGGCCAUCCCAGCCUAAUCUUGUAUUAUGCAGAUAGGGUCGCUACCUGGCCGGCGCUUUCUGAGGUCAUUCUGGGUAGACCUGCAACAAGUGGGCUUCAGAGACCUCUUGAGCUGGCCUGUCUUGGGUCUGCCAGUUCUCAGCCACUGAGGACAGGUCUCAUCCUUCUCUAUGAGCCUUUCCCUCUUUUCUUCUGUCCCCAUACCAGGCAUCUCCUAGAGUACUACUGUCUUUGCAAAGAGCCGAGAUUUCUAGACUAGUGGUUCUGAGUGUGCAGAAGUGUCAACUGGAAGGCUUGCAAAAACACAGAUGGCUCAACUUCUCCCUCAGAACUUUGGAUCCAGUAGGUUAGACUAGGGUCCAAGAAUUUGCAUUUCUACCAAGUUCUCCAGCGAUUCUGAACCCCACUUAGAGAACAGUCUUUGAUUUUCUCCAGUGCUCAGAAAGGUAAGAGAUGGAAGGAGUUUCUGCCAUAUUAGAGGGUCAAAUUCUCCGAGGGGGACCAGCAAUUUGGAUAUGCAUUUUCCUGAGUUCUAUGGUGGGGGCUAGUUGUCUGACCU
Molecule: long non-coding RNA, 1010 nt
Filed under: Pan troglodytes (chimpanzee)
Lineage: Eukaryota; Metazoa; Chordata; Mammalia; Primates; Hominidae
Description: long non-coding RNA NONPTRT002264
Source: RNAcentral